AUGAGUAUGACGAAAAAUUUGACGGAUUGUCAAUGAUUUUCUCCUCAGGAGAACAAGUGAUCAUACAACCAGCUACUUCUGACUCAU
Small nucleolar RNA from Lactuca sativa (garden lettuce), 87 nucleotides. RefSeq annotates it as small nucleolar RNA R12. The record is from RefSeq and is a predicted model, not a curated record. Lineage: Eukaryota; Viridiplantae; Streptophyta; Magnoliopsida; Asterales; Asteraceae.